Erigeron canadensis is the source of this 496-nucleotide long non-coding RNA. RefSeq lists it as uncharacterized. The record is from RefSeq and is a predicted model, not a curated record. The transcript is spliced from 3 exons. Lineage: Eukaryota; Viridiplantae; Streptophyta; Magnoliopsida; Asterales; Asteraceae.
GCGGUCUUCUUGAUUUAUAAUUUUGGUUUUCGCGGAGGAGGUUGUCCCGGAUGAGGAAGAAAGUAAGUAUUGUAAAGAUUGAAGUUAAAGAUGCUUAAUGGAUAUGGGUUGCUUUGGUUAAAUGCGGAUAAUGGUAUUGGUAGUUCCGGAAGAAGGAGCUAGUGAUUGUUGAUUGAGGAUAGUUGAUUUAGAGUUUGAAGCGAUUUGGACGUCUUGAAGGUAAUUAGGUCAUUCCCGGGCGAAUGACGAUCUUUUGGUAUAGAAGCUUAGUUGUCCCUCAUUUCUUGGCUCAUGGUACAUUUUAGUUUGGGGUCAUGCUUAUGGGUAAAUUUCUGUAAAUGUUCCAGUUGUAAAGUUUUUGGAUAGUUGUGAAUUCAUAAUUUUGGUCAAAAAGGUGUCAAAGUGGGUAAAUGACCCGUUUGAUGGAAACCUUGAUUUUGUGUACUCGUUGAUGUUGUAAUUGUGUUUGAAAUGUGUCUUUAUAGUUGUUAGAAUA